Molecule: ribosomal RNA, 253 nt
Filed under: uncultured bacterium
Lineage: Bacteria
Description: partial 16S ribosomal RNA
Rfam family: Bacterial small subunit ribosomal RNA
Source: RNAcentral
UACGUAAGGGGCAAGCGUUGUCCGGAAUCACUGGGCGUAAAGCGCACGUAGGCGGUUACGCAAGUCAGGGGUGCAAGCUCCAGGCCUAACCUGGAAACUGCCUCUGAAACUACGUUACUUGAGUGUUAGAGGGGAAGCUGGAAUUCACGGUGUAGCGGUGAAAUGCGUAGAUAUCGUGGAGAACACCCGUGGCGAAGGCGGGCUUCUGGCUAACAACUGACGCUGAGGUGCGAAAGCUAGGGGAGCGAACGGG